This is a long non-coding RNA of Musa acuminata AAA Group (dessert banana), 1130 nucleotides long. RefSeq lists it as uncharacterized. Lineage: Eukaryota; Viridiplantae; Streptophyta; Magnoliopsida; Zingiberales; Musaceae. The transcript has 3 exons. The record is from RefSeq and is a predicted model, not a curated record.
AGAAAGCAUCAGAACAGAGGAGGGAACGCCUCGGAUCCCGUUGCCCUCCCCCGUAUCUCUCCCUCCUCCGCCUCCUCCUCUCUGCUUCACCCAGAGAAGAACGGGAGAGAGAUCAGGGUCGUUGGACGCUCUUUGAUCCGGAUUUCCUGAAGCGGAGGGAUGGCAGCGAUCCCCAGGGCUUCGCUCGGUCUGGUGGCCAUUAUGCUUCUCGGCUUGGACAUCGUCCUGCCGAACGUCCAGGCUCAGGCCCCCGCUCCCGCUCCUACCAGCGACGGUGAUUUGAUCUUCUUCUUGCCUUUUGUUUUCCCAUCCUCGCGUUUACUUUUCUUUCAAAAGCCAAAGAUCCGAUCUUUCUGCUGCUAUUGCAAAUGGAUGUGUUCUCUUCUCUGAACUUUUCCCUUUCUUCCUUGAUCCAUUUUCUAGUUUUUGUUAGUCCGGAUCCAGUUUAGGCACAAUGUAAUGGUUUUCUCUGCAGAUUCUCUUGGCUUUUCGUACAUUCACGGCGACAUAAAGGUUAAAGUUUGCAAUCCUUGGCUUGAAUAGGUUUUAAUUUCUAAUGCAAAAAUUCCUCUUUUUGAGUUCCUUCUACCCAAACAUGGUUGAAUGCUGCAACUUCUAUGACGAAUAUUGUGGCCUUCUGCGAUGCAUUCAGAUUAUCUUUCUGAAUGCAAACUAUGAAUACGAUCUUUAUAUGAAUUUGGAUCUUUACGCUGAGGGGAUGGAGGGUUGACAUUACUGCUUCUUUGUGUGGGAAGGAAUCAUAAAGAACAAUGUCAGCCCUAUUUGGAAGAUUCAGAUAUGUGCAUCACAAUAGGAUUCAAGAAUGCCAGCCUAUGACGAGGCCGAACAAAAAUUGACGGCAUACGGCAAACUCAGAGAUGCUCUUUGUCUUCUUCAGAGGCUUCCUUUAUUUCUGUUGGCCAUUCAACCACGACACUGUUGCCACCACCCAAUUUUAAGAACAUGGAUGUUUCAGAGUGGCAGCAAAUGCACUCAUGCGCACUCCGAGGGUUUAUAAACCUGGAGGACGCAAGCUCAGAGAAAGCUUGCACAGCAACAAAUGGGAAAAUGAAAUUAUUAAGCAUGCAAAAGGAUCAAUGUCAAGCUCUUGUAUAAUUUUGUGCUUGAAA